This 506-nucleotide ribosomal RNA is filed under the name uncultured bacterium. RNAcentral's name for it is "partial 16S ribosomal RNA". It matches the Rfam family "Bacterial small subunit ribosomal RNA", at positions 29 to 523 of the family's 1533-position model. The record is from RNAcentral.
AUUGAACGCUGGCGGCAGGCCUAACACAUGCAAGUCGAACGGCAGCACAGAAGAGCUUGCUCUUUGGGUGGCGAGUGGCGGACGGGUGAGUAAUGUCUGGGAAACUGCCCGAUGGAGGGGGAUAACUACUGGAAACGGUAGCUAAUACCGCAUAACGUCGCGAGACCAAAGUGGGGGACCUUCGGGCCUCACACCAUCGGAUGUGCCCAGAUGGGGUUAGCUAGUAGGUGGGGUAAUGGCUCACCUAGGCGACGAUCCCUAGCUGGUCUGAGAGGAUGACCAGACACACUGGAACUGAGACACGGUCCAGACUCCGACGGGAGGGAGCAGUGGGGAAUAUUGCACAAUGGGCGCAAGCCUGAUGCAGCCAUGCCGCGUGUAUGAAGAAGGCCUUCGGGUUGUAAAGUACUUUCAGCGGGGAGGAAGGCGGUGAGGUUAAUAACCUCGCCGAUUGACGUUACCCGCAGAAGAAGCACCGGCUAACUCCGUGCCAGCCGCCGCAGUAA